RNAcentral lists this ribosomal RNA (253 nucleotides) under uncultured bacterium. RNAcentral's name for it is "partial 16S ribosomal RNA". It matches the Rfam family "Bacterial small subunit ribosomal RNA", at positions 524 to 776 of the family's 1533-position model. The record is from RNAcentral.
UACGUAGGGGGCAAGCGUUGUCCGGAAUCAUUGGGCGUAAAGAGCGUGUAGGCGGCCCGGUAAGUCCGCUGUGAAAGUCCAGGGCUCAACCCUGGAAUGCCGGUGGAAACUGUCGGGCUAGAGUCCGGAAGCGGCGAGUGGAAUUCCUGGUGUAGCGGUGAAAUGCGCAGAUAUCAGGAGGAACACCAAUGGCGAAGGCAGCUCGCUGGGACGGUACUGACGCUGAGACGCGAAAGCGUGGGGAGCAAACAGG